RNAcentral lists this long non-coding RNA (214 nucleotides) under Lathyrus oleraceus (garden pea). Its description in RNAcentral is "Pisum sativum (pea) long non-coding RNA (PSAT_LNC010030)". The record is from RNAcentral. Lineage: Eukaryota; Viridiplantae; Streptophyta; Magnoliopsida; Fabales; Fabaceae.
UUUUGAGGAAGGUUUCUUUGCCCUAGCUGAGCUUGUCUUAGAGGUUGAAUGGAAAUGGCAGUUGCUGAGUUUAGGUAGCGUAUGCUGAGGGGAUAAAUACUAUUUUCAAAGUUUGGAAAUGAUUUAGCAUUAAUGUGGCUCUUUCUUUUAAAAGGGCAAACAUUAAUUUUAUUUCUUUUAUUUUUUUCUUUCAAUUUCCAAAUCCCUAAUUUCC